CUGCUGCUGCGUUUACGCGGUCGUGUGUAAAUACCUAAAGCGAGGGCGUCAGAACAUGGACCAGGCUCUGCUCGGUGGUGCCGAGCAAUAGGACUCAAGGCAACAGGCAGAAACUGAUGCACAGAAAGUUCCACACGAUCUAAGAACUUCACUGUGCAAUGAGCGAGCACUGGAUCGGGCUGCCCAGGACUUGUAUAAAAACAUCGGGUUUCUUCCUUGACACCGCAGUGUCUCACGGCUGCCUCUCCUGGAGCCAGUGACAGGUGCGGCUGCGAAGAAAGGCCAACAAAUCCCAACUCUCCAUCCCAGCUCUUUAGAGAAAGGCCUAGAGACCACAAGCCUGGAGCUGCCACCCAGCUGGGAGGUGCUGCAAGGAGGAGAAGCAAAAGUAGAGGUUGAAAUCAUUGCAACAGGGGGAUGAUGAUUCUAUAAACAUGAGAGCAGUGCUGCACUUAGCAAGAAAUCAACUGCACAGAGUAAUUGCAGUAAUAAACUUGCAGAAAAGAAACCAGUAGGCAGAGUGGAUCGUAAGCAGAACACAUCAAUUUCAUGAGGUUGGAAAAGGCAUCCACUCUGCUGAGAUGCAUAAUCAGAAGAGUUGCCACCAAGGUAACUUUGUGAAGUUGUGAAAAGAUAGGGUGGGAGCUAGAAGGGUACAACAACAAAAAGUCGUGUGUUUCAGAACUGAUUAAAAGAAAAUAAAAUAUCUGUGCUUUUAAUAAAAAACCAACCCAAAAGAGAGACUGAACAAAAAUAUGGAAACUGUCUUAAUUUGUGUAAAGGACUGCUGCAAAAAGAAAGGGAACGUUGUCUAUGUUCAAUUGGAAUGUAUCAGCUAAACUGCAGCAAAAGGUAUUUAAUCCAGACAUUCAAAAAAGAGAGUUAAGGACUAGACUAGAC
Molecule: long non-coding RNA, 900 nt
Organism: Pseudopodoces humilis (Tibetan ground-tit)
Lineage: Eukaryota; Metazoa; Chordata; Aves; Passeriformes; Paridae
Source: RefSeq, a predicted model, not a curated record